RNAcentral lists this long non-coding RNA (739 nucleotides) under Equus asinus (donkey). RNAcentral's name for it is "lncRNA (ENSEASG00005023549.1)". Lineage: Eukaryota; Metazoa; Chordata; Mammalia; Perissodactyla; Equidae. The record is from RNAcentral.
ACUGGAGUCACCAGGCUGUGAGCACCUCUGCUGCUUCUGGGGUCGCCUGGGUCUCAUGUUCCCCCGCUGGUUCUCUGUGGGCUUAGGUGCUGCUGCCCUGUGCACCACCUGUGCUGCUGCUCCUAGGUUCCACAAGCACUGUGCCUGCAACAGCAGUUGAAUGAAUGGCAAUGAAUGGGGUCCCAGUAUACAAAGAGAGCUGCAGGGCAAGGUCAGGGAAGGGAGCAGCCAUGGGCAGCUCACUUCGGAAUCCCGUGUUAUUACUUAGCAGCAUGGACAAUUAUCUGGCCUACGUUGUGGGGUAUGUUGGAUGGAGGCAGGAAGAAACAUGUUCAUCUGAGCCAGGAGAUGGGCCCGUUGGCAACUUUGUUAGAUUGCACACAAUUUUAUGGGCUUGUCAUAGAGCUUGUGCAAAUUCUCAUGUCUGUCCCACACCCUGAUAAAGAGUGAUAUCUUCUAAGAGAGAGAACACCACAGAUGUUUGAUUACAUCUCACCCAUAAUUUGUGGUCCACAUGACUUCAUUGUAUACGGGCUGAUUUAUAAACUGUAAAGCAUGACGCAAAUGAGAAGUGGUAUUUAUUAUUUGAAUCCUUUCUGUCCUUGGCUGAGUUCCAGGGAGGUGAUGGGUUUCCAUUUCUAAGGGAGGAUUUCAGAGGAAAUAAAGAGAAUGGAGAGCAGAAGCUCAGAACUUACAAAAUGAAGACAGUUGUUUUCUACGUUUAAGAUUUGGUAUUUAC